AUUGAACGCUGGCGGCAGGCCUAACACAUGCAAGUCGAGCGGAUGAAGGGAGCUUGCUCCUGGAUUCAGCGGCGGACGGGUGAGUAAUGCCUAGGAAUCUGCCUGGUAGUGGGGGAUAACGUCCGGAAACGGGCGCUAAUACCGCAUACGUCCUGAGGGAGAAAGUGGGGGAUCUUCGGACCUCACGCUAUCAGAUGAGCCUAGGUCGGAUUAGCUAGUUGGUGGGGUAAAGGCCUACCAAGGCGACGAUCCGUAACUGGUCUGAGAGGAUGAUCAGUCAAAUUGGAAAUGAGAACCGGCCCAGACCCCGAGGGGGGGCAGCGGGGGGGAAUUUUGGAAAAGGGGGGAAAGCCGGACCCAGCCAUGCCGGGGGGGUGAAGAAGGUUUUCGGUUUGUAAAGCCCUUUAAGUUGGGAGGAAGGGAAGUAAGUUAAUACCUUGCUUUUUUGACGUUACCAACAAAAUAAGCACCGGCAAACUUCGU
This 483-nucleotide ribosomal RNA is filed under the name uncultured bacterium. RNAcentral's name for it is "partial 16S ribosomal RNA". It matches the Rfam family "Bacterial small subunit ribosomal RNA", at positions 30 to 506 of the family's 1533-position model. The record is from RNAcentral.